GCUGCUGACUGUCAAAUAUGUGGAAAAACAUUGGUUAUUUUUCUUUUAAUUUUCCCACGUAUCCGCUGUCAUUACCUUGCAGAAAGUGACCGGAUUAUCACAGGAGUAUGGAGUAACGCCAUGGAUGGAAUAAGAACUUUAAUUUGUUCCUGUGUCGUUUGAAGUUUGGACAGUUCAGCAACAAGGAAAACAAAGUCCCCAGACUUCUUCGUAGUCGCUGGAAUCUUGAUAAACGUCUUUGCUGUUGGAUAGCCGAUUUCCCAA
Dendronephthya gigantea is the source of this 264-nucleotide long non-coding RNA. RefSeq lists it as uncharacterized. Lineage: Eukaryota; Metazoa; Cnidaria; Anthozoa; Malacalcyonacea; Nephtheidae. The transcript is spliced from 3 exons. The record is from RefSeq and is a predicted model, not a curated record.